CUUCACCGAGCCCAGCCACAGCGGCCGGUCCGCGGGCCGCCCCUGGCCGUACGUCCGCAGCAGGGCCUCCGCCUC
RNAcentral lists this antisense RNA (75 nucleotides) under Frankia nepalensis. RNAcentral's name for it is "ASpks TB sRNA". It matches the Rfam family "ASpks TB sRNA". The record is from Rfam by way of RNAcentral. Lineage: Bacteria; Bacillati; Actinomycetota; Actinomycetes; Frankiales; Frankiaceae.